GGGGGGGGCAAGCGUUGUUCGGAAUUACUGGGCGUAAAGGGCUCGUAGGUGGCCAACUAAGUCAGACGUGAAAUCCCUCAGCUUAACUGGGGAACUGCGUCUGAUACUGGAUGGCUUGAGUUUGGGAGAGGGAUGCGGAAUUCCAGGUGUAGCGGUGAAAUGCGUAGAUAUCUGGAGGAACACCGGUGGCGAAGGCGGCAUCCUGGACCAACACUGACACUGAGGAGCGAAAGCCAGGGGAGCAAACGGGAUUAGAUACCCCGGUAGUCCUGGCCCUAAACGAUGAAUGCUUGGUGUGGCGGGUAUCGAUCCCUGCCGUGCCGAAGCUAACGCAUUAAGCAUUCCGCCUGGGGAGUACGGUCGCAAGGGUG
RNAcentral lists this ribosomal RNA (371 nucleotides) under uncultured bacterium. RNAcentral describes it as "bacterial SSU rRNA". It matches the Rfam family "Bacterial small subunit ribosomal RNA", at positions 527 to 896 of the family's 1533-position model. The record is from RNAcentral.